RNAcentral lists this ribosomal RNA (468 nucleotides) under uncultured bacterium. Its description in RNAcentral is "partial 16S ribosomal RNA". It matches the Rfam family "Bacterial small subunit ribosomal RNA", at positions 28 to 507 of the family's 1533-position model. The record is from RNAcentral.
GAUGAACGCUGGCGGCGUGCUUAACACAUGCAAGUCGAACGGAAAGGCCCAAGCUUGCUUGGGUCCUCGAGUGGCGAACGGGUGAGUAACACGUGGGUUAUCUGCCCUGCACUUCGGGAUAAGCCUGGGAAACUGGGUCUAAUACCGGAUAGGACGAUGGUUUGGAUGCCAUUGUGGAAAGUUUUUUCGGUGUGGGAUGAGCUCGCGGCCUCUCAGCUUGUUGGUGGGGUAAUGGCCUACCAAGGCGUCGACGGGUAGCCGGCCUGAGAGGGUGUACGGCGAUAUUGGGCAUGAGGUCCGGCACAGACCCCUGAGGGAGGCAGGAGUGGGGAAUAUUGAACAAUGGGCGAAAGGCUGAUGCAGCGACGCCGCGUGGGGGAUGACGGCCGUCGGGUUGUAAACUCCUUUCGCUAGGGACGAAGCGUUUUUGUGACGGUACCUGGAGAAGAAGCACCGGCUAACUACGUG